This 253-nucleotide ribosomal RNA is filed under the name uncultured bacterium. RNAcentral's name for it is "partial 16S ribosomal RNA". It matches the Rfam family "Bacterial small subunit ribosomal RNA", at positions 524 to 776 of the family's 1533-position model. The record is from RNAcentral.
CACGUAGGGCGCGAGCGUUGUCCGGAAUUAUUGGGCGUAAAGAGCUCGUAGGCGGCCUGUUGCGUCCGCUGUGAAAGCCCGGGGCUUAACCCCGGGUCGGCAGUGGAUACGGGCAGGCUAGAGGUAGGUAGGGGAGAAUGGAAUUCCCGGUGUAGCGGUGAAAUGCGCAGAUAUCGGGAGGAACACCGGUGGCGAAGGCGGUUCUCUGGGCUUUACCUGACGCUGAGGAGCGAAAGCGUGGGGAGCGAACAGG